AAGAUCAAGUUUUGUGUCCAACACACUUGGAUGAGACGUGCCCGGCCCCCUGACUUUGUCUACCCUACAUUAAGUUGUGAUGGCACACUUCAUGACAGUAAACAUCGGUAUCAAGAUGGUGUGAUUGAUCUAUACCCUAGAAUAAGCUGUGACACUAUGAGACGUACGUGCUACUGAUGCUUUUUGUUAUUUUUUUGGUGCAUUCCCACACUAUACAAACACGUUGCUUGGCUCCAAAGUGCAUACACUUUUGACUUUAUAAUGUCAUUCUCAUUUAUAGGGUGACAUAAUGAACAGCCAUCUUCCAGACAACCGAAACAGGCAGAGUAUUGUUUUCUUGUGUAUUGUCAUACACCUAAAGAGGAUUUUUUGUAAUUGUACAGUUAUGGUGUUAUUCAUUCAUUAAUGUGUCCUUUCUUACCUUAAAUAACUUGUCAUUUUUCACUCCUUUUGUUUUUAAUGUCUAUAUAGUAUUGUCUACAAUCCCAAAUUCUGGAUUGACGCCCCAGUACCAGAAGGCACUCCAAUCCCAGAGAGCAUCCCAUUGUGAGGUAACACAACGAAAAAAUAACAGGAUGGAGACUACCUGAUUCUUCACCUAUGGCCUUAGCUUCAAAUGCAAGAAGUCCAGCAACUGUCUGAGCUGGUGGAUAUUCUAUCCGAGACUGCAUGAACAACGUUAUGAACAGAAUGAUGUCAAAUUGUCUUAUGGCAAAGUUCAAUAUGAGGGGUGGUGGACAUCUGGAAAAGAAGUCUUUUAAAGGCACACCUUUGUAUUAUGUUAUUCAAGAUGCUGUGAGGAGGUGGAGCCCAAAAGCCACGGACUCGGAAAUCGAUGCAGCUAUGGCAGACCACCUCAAGCACACUCCAGGAAGAGAGCUAGGGGUUGUGAAUACAAAAAAUAAGCCAAACAGAUGUAAUGUGUUAGAGAUAGUUCACACAAAAAUGAAAAUUGUUAUAAUUUUCUUACCCACGUGUUUCAAACCUGUAUACAUUUCUAUUUUUUGCUGAACACAAAGAUUGAAUAAUGUUUGUAACCAAGCAUUUCUCACAACCCAUUAACUGUCAUAAUCAUUUUUUUUACAAUUGUAGUAAUGGGUUGUGAGAUCUGCUUUUUUAAAAACAUUCUUUCAAAUAUCUUUGUGUUCCGCAGAACAUAGAAAGGUAUACAGGUUUGAAACAUGAGAGGGAGUAAAUGACUAAAUAUUCAUUUUUGGGUGAACUAUCCCUUUAUAUAAUAAAGUAUUUUGAAAUUGUUAUUAUAGUUAAAAAAAAUAAAAGUCUUAAAUCAGAA
Molecule: non-coding RNA, 1294 nt
Organism: Misgurnus anguillicaudatus (oriental weatherfish)
Lineage: Eukaryota; Metazoa; Chordata; Actinopteri; Cypriniformes; Cobitidae
Source: RefSeq, a predicted model, not a curated record